Pezoporus occidentalis (night parrot) is the source of this 447-nucleotide long non-coding RNA. RefSeq lists it as uncharacterized. The record is from RefSeq and is a predicted model, not a curated record. Lineage: Eukaryota; Metazoa; Chordata; Aves; Psittaciformes; Psittacidae. The transcript has 2 exons.
AGGUGUUCAGUGAAAUCAGUAUCCAGUCCUUUCAAGAAGUCUCAGAAAAUAGACCUGAUGCUUCCAGUUAUUCAGAAUUCCUGCCCAUCCAGCACCAUGGCAACAGCUUUAUCCCCCUGCUUGGCAGCAGCGUUGCUGCAGUAACAGUGUCCAUGACUCAUCUGGAGGAGAGGAGAGCCAAGCAGAGCCACCAAAGAGGAGUCAACCCUGGACACAAGCCCCACCAGGCUCCUGCUCAUCGAUGUUUUCACCCCAACUCUUUCUGUGCACUGAAAAUAUUUUAAACCUUAAUAUUUUAAACCUAUUUGGAGUUUUAAGUCAACAUGCCAGUGUCUAACUGGAUGACAUCUGGGAAGAUCAGCUGCCAAAAUACUGCAAUCAAGUGGUUUGCCUCCUCUGGCAGUGCCCAGUCUCCUAGCAGGAAAAACAAAGAGAUGUGUAUAUAUA